Molecule: ribosomal RNA, 476 nt
Filed under: uncultured bacterium
Lineage: Bacteria
Description: partial 16S ribosomal RNA
Rfam family: Bacterial small subunit ribosomal RNA
Source: RNAcentral
UAGGGAAUCUUCCACAAUGGACGCAAGUCUGAUGGAGCAACGCCGCGUGAGUGAAGAAGGCUUUCGGGUCGUAAAACUCUGUUAUUGAAGAAGAACGUGUGUGACAGUAACUGGUCAUACAGUGACGGUAUUCAAUCAGAAAGUCACGGCUAACUACGUGCCAGCAGCCGCGGUAAUACGUAGGUGGCAAGCGUUGUCCGGAUUUAUUGGGCGUAAAGCGAGUGCAGGCGGUCUUUUAAGUCUGAUGUGAAAGCCUUCGGCUUAACCGAAGAAGGGCAUCGGAAACUGGGAGACUUGAGUGCAGAAGAGGAGAGUGGAACUCCAUGUGUAGCGGUGAAAUGCGUAGAUAUAUGGAAGAACACCAGUGGCGAAGGCGGCUCUCUGGUCUGUAACUGACGCUGAGGCUCGAAAGCGUGGGUAGCAAACAGGAUUAGAUACCCUGGUAGUCCACGCCGUAACGAUGAAUACUAAGUGUU